UUAAAUUGAAGAGUUUGAUCAUGGCUCAGAUUGAACGCUGGCGGCAGGCCUAACACAUGCAAGUCGAACGGUAACAGGAAACAGCUUGCUGUUUCGCUGACGAGUGGCGGACGGGUGAGUAAUGUCUGGGAAACUGCCUGAUGGAGGGGGAUAACUACUGGAAACGGUAGCUAAUACCGCAUAACGUCGCAAGACCAAAGAGGGGGACCUUCGGGCCUCUUGCCAUCGGAUGUGCCCAGAUGGGAUUAGCUUGUUGGUGGGGUAACGGCUCACCAAGGCGACGAUCCCUAGCUGGUCUGAGAGGAUGACCAGCCACACUGGAACUGAGACACGGUCCAGACUCCUACGGGAGGCAGCAGUGGGGAAUAUUGCACAAUGGGCGCAAGCCUGAUGCAGCCAUGCCGCGUGUAUGAAGAAGGCCUUCGGGUUGUAAAGUACUUUCAGCGGGGAGGAAGGGAGUAAAGUUAAUACCUUUGCUCAUUGACGUUACCCGCAGAAGAAGCACCGGCUAACUCCGUGCCAGCAGCCGCGGUAAUACGGAGGGUGCAAGCGUUAAUCGGAAUUACUGGGCGUAAAGCGCACGCAGGCGGUUUGUUAAGUCAGAUGUGAAAUCCCCGGGCUCAACCUGGGAACUGCAUCUGAUACUGGCAAGCUUGAGUCUCGUAGAGGGGGGUAGAAUUCCAGGUGUAGCGGUGAAAUGCGUAGAGAUCUGGAGGAAUACCGGUGGCGAAGGCGGCCCCCUGGACGAAGACUGACGCUCAGGUGCGAAAGCGUGGGGAGCAAACAGGAUUAGAUACCCUGGUAGUCCACGCCGUAAACGAUGUCGACUUGGAGGUUGUGCCCUUGAGGCGUGGCUUCCGGAGCUAACGCGUUAAGUCGACCGCCUGGGGAGUACGGCCGCAAGGUUAAAACUCAAAUGAAUUGACGGGGGCCCGCACAAGCGGUGGAGCAUGUGGUUUAAUUCGAUGCAACGCGAAGAACCUUACCUGGUCUUGACAUCCACGGAAGUUUUCAGAGAUGGAAUGGUGCCUUCGGGAACCGUGAGACAGGUGCUGCAUGGCUGUCGUCAGCUCGUGUUGUGAAAUGUUGGGUUAAGUCCCGCAACGAGCGCAACCCUUAUCCUUUGUUGCCAGCGGUCCGGCCGGGAACUCAAAGGAGACUGCCAGUGAUAAACUGGAGGAAGGUGGGGAUGACGUCAAGUCAUCAUGGCCCUUACGACCAGGGCUACACACGUGCUACAAUGGCGCAUACAAAGAGAAGCGACCUCGCGAGAGCAAGCGGACCUCAUAAAGUGCGUCGUAGUCCGGAUUGGAGUCUGCAACUCGACUCCAUGAAGUCGGAAUCGCUAGUAAUCGUGGAUCAGAAUGCCACGGUGAAUACGUUCCCGGGCCUUGUACACACCGCCCGUCACACCAUGGGAGUGGGUUGCAAAAGAAGUAGGUAGCUUAACCUUCGGGAGGGCGCUUACCACUUUGUGAUUCAUGACUGGGGUGAAGUCGUAACAAGGUAACCGUAGGGGAACCUGCGGUUGGAUCACCUCCUUACCUUAAAGAAGC
Molecule: ribosomal RNA, 1556 nt
Filed under: Escherichia coli
Lineage: Bacteria; Pseudomonadati; Pseudomonadota; Gammaproteobacteria; Enterobacterales; Enterobacteriaceae
Description: bacterial SSU rRNA
Rfam family: Bacterial small subunit ribosomal RNA
Source: RNAcentral